This 1319-nucleotide ribosomal RNA is filed under the name Salmonella enterica subsp. enterica serovar Newport. RNAcentral's name for it is "partial 23S ribosomal RNA". It matches the Rfam family "Bacterial large subunit ribosomal RNA", at positions 1506 to 2803 of the family's 2925-position model. The record is from RNAcentral. Lineage: Bacteria; Pseudomonadati; Pseudomonadota; Gammaproteobacteria; Enterobacterales; Enterobacteriaceae.
CCCGGUUUAAGCGUGUAGGUGUGUGUUCCAGGUAAAUCCGGUUCACUUUAACACUGAGGCGUGACGACGAGGCACUACGGUGCUGAAGCAACAAAUGCCCUGCUUCCAGGAAAAGCCUCUAAGCAUCAGGUAACAUCAAAUCGUACCCCAAACCGACACAGGUGGUCAGGUAGAGAAUACCAAGGCGCUUGAGAGAACUCGGGUGAAGGAACUAGGCAAAAUGGUGCCGUAACUUCGGGAGAAGGCACGCUGACACGUAGGUGAAGUGAUUUACUCAUGGAGCUGAAGUCAGUCGAAGAUACCAGCUGGCUGCAACUGUUUAUUAAAAACACAGCACUGUGCAAACACGAAAGUGGACGUAUACGGUGUGACGCCUGCCCGGUGCCGGAAGGUUAAUUGAUGGGGUCAGCGCAAGCGAAGCUCCUGAUCGAAGCCCCGGUAAACGGCGGCCGUAACUAUAACGGUCCUAAGGUAGCGAAAUUCCUUGUCGGGUAAGUUCCGACCUGCACGAAUGGCGUAAUGAUGGCCAGGCUGUCUCCACCCGAGACUCAGUGAAAUUGAACUCGCUGUGAAGAUGCAGUGUACCCGCGGCAAGACGGAAAGACCCCGUGAACCUUUACUAUAGCUUGACACUGAACAUUGAGCCUUGAUGUGUAGGAUAGGUGGGAGGCUUUGAAGUGUGGACGCCAGUCUGCAUGGAGCCGACCUUGAAAUACCACCCUUUAAUGUUUGAUGUUCUAACGUGGACCCGUGAUCCGGGUUGCGGACAGUGUCUGGUGGGUAGUUUGACUGGGGCGGUCUCCUCCUAAAGAGUAACGGAGGAGCACGAAGGUUGGCUAAUCCUGGUCGGACAUCAGGAGGUUAGUGCAAUGGCAUAAGCCAGCUUGACUGCGAGCGUGACGGCGCGAGCAGGUGCGAAAGCAGGUCAUAGUGAUCCGGUGGUUCUGAAUGGAAGGGCCAUCGCUCAACGGAUAAAAGGUACUCCGGGGAUAACAGGCUGAUACCGCCCAAGAGUUCAUAUCGACGGCGGUGUUUGGCACCUCGAUGUCGGCUCAUCACAUCCUGGGGCUGAAGUAGGUCCCAAGGGUAUGGCUGUUCGCCAUUUAAAGUGGUACGCGAGCUGGGUUUAGAACGUCGUGAGACAGUUCGGUCCCUAUCUGCCGUGGGCGCUGGAGAACUGAGGGGGGCUGCUCCUAGUACGAGAGGACCGGAGUGGACGCAUCACUGGUGUUCGGGUUGUCAUGCCAAUGGCACUGCCCGGUAGCUAAAUGCGGAAGAGAUAAGUGCUGAAAGCAUCUAAGCACGAAACUUGCCCCGAG